RNAcentral lists this small nuclear RNA (108 nucleotides) under Dasypus novemcinctus (nine-banded armadillo). Lineage: Eukaryota; Metazoa; Chordata; Mammalia; Cingulata; Dasypodidae. The record is from RNAcentral.
CUGCUCACUUCUGCAGCACAUACACUAAAAAUUGGAACGAUACAGAGAAGAUUGGCGUGGCCCCUGUGCAAGGAUGACACACAAAUUUGUGACGCAUUCCAUACUUUU